AGAGUUUGAUCAUGGCUCAGAGCGAACGCUGGCGGCAGGCUUAACACAUGCAAGUCGAACGGGCGUAGCAAUACGUCAGUGGCAGACGGGUGAGUAACGCGUGGGAACAUACCUCUUGGUUCGGAACAACACAGGGAAACUUGUGCUAAUACCGGAUAAGCCCUUACGGGGAAAGAUUUAUCGCCGAGAGAUUGGCCCGCGUCUGAUUAGCUAGUUGGUAGGGUAAUGGCCUACCAAGGCGACGAUCAGUAGCUGGUCUGAGAGGAUGAUCAGCCACAUUGGGACUGAGACACGGCCCAAACUCCUACGGGAGGCAGCAGUGGGGAAUAUUGGACAAUGGGCGCAAGCCUGAUCCAGCCAUGCCGCGUGAGUGAUGAAGGCCCUAGGGUUGUAAAGCUCUUUUGUACGGGAAGAUAAUGACGGUACCGUAAGAAUAAGCCCCGGCUAACUUCGUGCCAGCAGCCGCGGUAAUACGAAGGGGGCUAGCGUUGCUCGGAAUCACUGGGCGUAAAGGGUGCGUAGGCGGGUUUUUAAGUCAGAGGUGAAAUCCUGGAGCUCAACUCCAGAACUGCCUUUGAUACUGAAAGUCUUGAGUAUGGGAGAGGUGAGUGGAACUGCGAGUGUAGAGGUGAAAUUCGUAGAUAUUCGCAAGGACACCAGUGGCGAAGGCGGCUCACUGGCCCAUAACUGACGCUGAGGCACGAAAGCGUGGGGAGCAAACAGGAUUAGAUACCCUAGUAGUCC
RNAcentral lists this ribosomal RNA (744 nucleotides) under uncultured bacterium. Its description in RNAcentral is "bacterial SSU rRNA". It matches the Rfam family "Bacterial small subunit ribosomal RNA", at positions 8 to 796 of the family's 1533-position model. The record is from RNAcentral.